AUCCAAGAACACUUAAAUCAGUGUAAAUUACGUUAUAUCAGACACAGACUGCUGUUGUAGAUAAGUGUUAACGUUUCCAGCGUCGCGGCUCCGAACCAUAAUGUUAGUUGGGACAGAGCCAUUGUUUCUUUAGGGUAACUUUAUUAGCUUUAGCCUGGCUUGUAGCAGCUUUCUGCGGUGAAAAAUGGCCGUGAGAUGUCGUGAUUACAUUGCAUUAAUCAGGUGAUUUAGUUUGUCUUUGCAGUGAACAUAAAAAACUGACUACUGUAGCUUCACUACCCAUGGAAAAGCAUGUGCAUCACUGCAUCAGCGGCAGCUGCCGCUUACGGUACUUUUCUACACACGGAGAGCCUCACUUCCCUUAACAAACCCUGUCGGACUAACGUUACGUCACAUACACACGUUGCCCACAUGGCCACCUGUCUUAAAGGAGAAGGGUCGGCCGUAACAAUCAUGUAAAAGGAGAACGGUGAAAGUUUACUUUUUUAUCAAGCAGCAAAGAAGUUGUAGCAUCAACAUCGCAACGUCCUGCGAUGUGACUCUCGUGCAUGUGCACAUCACGAUGUAGAC
Molecule: long non-coding RNA, 570 nt
Organism: Sander lucioperca (pikeperch)
Lineage: Eukaryota; Metazoa; Chordata; Actinopteri; Perciformes; Percidae
Exons: 2
Source: RefSeq, a predicted model, not a curated record